GAGGGUGUAGCUCAGUGGUAGAGCACAUGCUUAACAUGCACGAGGUCCUGGGUUCAAUCUCCAGUACCUCCA
This 72-nucleotide transfer RNA is filed under the name Camelus bactrianus (Bactrian camel). It matches the Rfam family "tRNA". From Rfam's summary of the family: Transfer RNA (tRNA) molecules are approximately 80 nucleotides in length. Their secondary structure includes four short double-helical elements and three loops (D, anti-codon, and T loops). Further hydrogen bonds mediate the characteristic L-shaped molecular structure. tRNAs have two regions of fundamental functional importance: the anti-codon, which is responsible for specific mRNA codon recognition, and the 3' end, to which the tRNAs corresponding amino acid is attached (by aminoacyl-tRNA synthetases). tRNAs cope with the degeneracy of the genetic code in two manners: having more than one tRNA (with a specific anti-codon) for a particular amino acid; and 'wobble' base-pairing, i.e. permitting non-standard base-pairing at the 3rd anti-codon position. Lineage: Eukaryota; Metazoa; Chordata; Mammalia; Artiodactyla; Camelidae. The record is from Rfam by way of RNAcentral. RNAcentral also lists the same sequence under 1 other name.